This is a long non-coding RNA of Saccostrea echinata, 298 nucleotides long. RefSeq lists it as uncharacterized. The record is from RefSeq and is a predicted model, not a curated record. Lineage: Eukaryota; Metazoa; Mollusca; Bivalvia; Ostreida; Ostreidae. The transcript is spliced from 3 exons.
AGACCUGGUAACAAGGAAGUUGAUUUGUCAGAAGAAUGAUUCAGAGGGCCUGAGAUGAAGGACUUUCUUCACACAUUUGUAGUACACUUCCAUGAGGAGAGCUCACAAAGAUAAAAUGGAAGAAUAGCACCCACAGAUUUGAUUGUUCAGCAUAUUUGAGCUGUUAAUCUGCUUAGUAUGUCUUUGAUAAAUUGCUGUAUAGAUUGAUGUGUGAAAUGUGACUUCCACAUGUUCUUGAAUCAGAGACACUUGAUCGGCAAUAUUACCAGGAAAUUUGUGGACGAUCUAGAUUUGCUGU